Molecule: ribosomal RNA, 497 nt
Filed under: uncultured bacterium
Lineage: Bacteria
Description: partial 16S ribosomal RNA
Rfam family: Bacterial small subunit ribosomal RNA
Source: RNAcentral
GAUGAACGCUGGCGGCGUGCCUAAUACAUGCAAGUCGAGCGAACGGACGAGAAGCUUGCUUCUCUGAUGUUAGCGGCGGACGGGUGAGUAACACGUGGAGAACCUACCUAUAAGACUGGGAUAACUUCGGGAAACCGGAGCUAAUACCGGAUGAUAUUUUGAACCGCAUGGUUCAAAAGUGAAAGACGGUCUUGCUGUCACUUAUAGAUGGAUCCGCGCUGCAUUAGCUAGUUGGUAAGGUAACGGCUUACCAAGGCAACGAUGCAUAGCCGACCUGAGAGGGUGAUCGGCCACACUGGAACUGAGACACGGUCCAGACUCCUACGGGAGGCAGCAGUAGGGAAUCUUCCGCAAUGGGCGAAAGCCUGACGGAGCAACGCCGCGUGAGUGAUGAAGGUCUUCGGAUCGUAAAACUCUGUUAUUAGGGAAGAACAUAUGUGUAAGUAACUGUGCACAUCUUGACGGUACCUAAUCAGAAAGCCACGGCUAACUACGUG